Molecule: transfer RNA, 72 nt
Filed under: Ovis aries (sheep)
Lineage: Eukaryota; Metazoa; Chordata; Mammalia; Artiodactyla; Bovidae
Rfam family: tRNA
About the family: Transfer RNA (tRNA) molecules are approximately 80 nucleotides in length. Their secondary structure includes four short double-helical elements and three loops (D, anti-codon, and T loops). Further hydrogen bonds mediate the characteristic L-shaped molecular structure. tRNAs have two regions of fundamental functional importance: the anti-codon, which is responsible for specific mRNA codon recognition, and the 3' end, to which the tRNAs corresponding amino acid is attached (by aminoacyl-tRNA synthetases). tRNAs cope with the degeneracy of the genetic code in two manners: having more than one tRNA (with a specific anti-codon) for a particular amino acid; and 'wobble' base-pairing, i.e. permitting non-standard base-pairing at the 3rd anti-codon position.
Source: Rfam by way of RNAcentral
UCCCUGGUGGCUCAGAGAUUAAAGGUUCUGCCUGCAAUGCAGGAGACCCAGGUUCAAUCCCUGGGUCGGGAA